GAUUUAUUGGAGGGGCAAGUCUGGUGCCAGCAGCCGCGGUAAUUCCAGCUCCAAAAGCGUAUAUUAAAGUUGUUGCAGUUAAAAAGCUCGUAGUUGAACCUUGGGCUUGGCUGGCCGGUCCAUCUUUUUUGAUGCGUACUGGACCCAGCCGAGCCUUUCCUUCUGGCUAGCCUUUUGGCGAACCAGGACUUUUACUUUGAAAAAAUUAGAGUGUUCAAAGCAGGCCUUUGCUCGAAUAUAUUAGCAUGGAAUAAUAGAAUAGGACGUUAUGGUUCUAUUUUGUUGGUUUCUAGGACCAUCGUAAUGAUUAAUAGGGACGGUCGGGGGUAUCAGUAUUCAGUUGUCAGAGGUGAAAUUCUUGGAUUUACUGAAGACUAACUACUGCGAAAGCAUUUACCAAGGACGUUUUCAUUAAUCAAGAACGAAAGUUAGGGGAUCGAAGAUGAUCUAGAUAACCUUCGAAUAAACCCU
This 471-nucleotide ribosomal RNA is filed under the name Lodderomyces orthopsilosis. RNAcentral's name for it is "SSU rRNA". It matches the Rfam family "Eukaryotic small subunit ribosomal RNA", at positions 539 to 1033 of the family's 1831-position model. The record is from RNAcentral. Lineage: Eukaryota; Fungi; Ascomycota; Pichiomycetes; Serinales; Debaryomycetaceae.